AUGGAAGCGUCCAACUCGCCACCACUUCCGUCGCCGACCUGCCCCACCCCGGCCACACACCUGCGACACGAGAGAGAUGCCGAGAUCCCAAGCACAAGCAAUCCCAAUUCCCGUCGCCUUUAUAUAAAGAAGAUCCCCUCCGUCUCUCUCUCCUCCACUUGUACUCCACCGCCACCACCCAGGGAACGCCACGCGCAGAGCUCCUCUGAAGCAAACACCAGACACAAGCGGGGACGAAUCCCAGCCGUGCGGUUCGUGGAUCCGAUGGGGCGGCGGUCGAGCGCGUCGCCGGUGGGGUCGGGGGAGCCGCUGCUGCCGGAGGUGCGCAAGUGCGUCAGCGGCGGCGCGACGAUGCAGCGGUCGCUCUCGCGGGCGGACGACGAGCUGCAGUGGUUCCGGUCGUGCCUGCGGUGGGUGUGCAUGGACCACUCGGCCCCGGGCCGCGCCGCGCUGUCCUGGCUGCUCUUCCUGCUCCUCGCCGUCGUCGUCCCGGCCGUCGCGCACUUCGUCAUCGCCUUCCGCCCCUCGCGCCGCCCCUUCGACGCCGUCGUGCAGGUCUCGCUCUCCGCCGCCUCCGGUGCCAGCUUCCUCUGCCUCUCCUCCUCCUUCCGCCGCAUCGGCCUCCGCCGCCUGCUCUACCUCGACAAGCUCCGCACCAACAGCGACCGCGUCCGGCUCAACUACACCGCCCGCCUCGCCUUCUCCUUCCGCCUCCUCGCCUCCCUCGUCGCGCCCUGCUUCGCCGCCGAGGCCGCCUACAAGGCCUGGUGGUACGCCACCUCCGCCGACCGCCUCCCCUUCUUCGCCAACGACCUCCUCAGCGACGUCCUCGCCUGCUCCCUCGAGAUGGCCUCCUGGAUGUACCGCAGCGCCAUCUACCUCCUCACCUGCGUCCUCUUCCGCCUCAUCUGCCACCUCCAGGGCCUCCGCCUCGAGGACUUCGCCGGCUCCCUGCUCGUCGAGGUGGAGGAAGGGAGGAUGGGGGUGGAGCGCGUCCUCAGGGAGCACCUCGACAUCCGCAAGCAGCUCAAGGUCAUCAGCCACCGAUUCCGCAGGUUCAUCGUCGCCGCGCUGCUCAUCGGCACCGCCAGCCAGUUCGCCUCCGUGCUCCUCACCACCCGCCACGACUCCAUCGACGACCUCCUCCACACCGGCGAGCUCGCGCUAUGUUCAGUGGUGCUCAUGUCCGGGCUCAUCAUAAUCCUGAGCAGCGCCGCCAAGAUUACUCACCAGGCGCAGGCCCUCACGGGCCAGACCACCAAGUGGCACGCCUGCUGCACCAUCGAACCGGUCCCGGACGACGAGAUAGAUCCGGGAUCCAACCAGAACUCCAUGCUGGAAGACCCCGAGGACGAGAGCGACUGCGAGUCCAGCGAGGAGACCGGCGACGAGGACAUGCUGGAGAACACCAAGUUCCUCCAGCCUCACACGCACGUGAUCUCCUUCCAGAAGAGGCAGGCACUAGUGACUUACCUGGAGAACAACAAGGCCGGCAUCACCGUGUUCGGGUUCACGCUGGACCGGUCGUACCUCCACACCAUAUUCAUGCUCGAGUGGACGCUCUUCUUGUGGCUGCUGGGGAAAACAGUCGGUUUCUCGUGA
Molecule: ribosomal RNA, 1602 nt
Filed under: Triticum aestivum (bread wheat)
Lineage: Eukaryota; Viridiplantae; Streptophyta; Magnoliopsida; Poales; Poaceae
Description: partial small subunit ribosomal RNA
Source: RNAcentral